RNAcentral lists this long non-coding RNA (18791 nucleotides) under Coffea arabica (coffee). RNAcentral describes it as "long non-coding RNA (CARA_LNC000796)". The record is from RNAcentral. Lineage: Eukaryota; Viridiplantae; Streptophyta; Magnoliopsida; Gentianales; Rubiaceae.
UUUUUUUUUUUUUUUUUUUUUUUUGGCUUGGUUUCCAAGGCGUUUGCCGCCCAUUUGUAGCCGGGUCACCCGCUCCACAACGGUACCUCUUACUCUGCGUAGAGGCAAAUAAGCCCCAAAGGACGCUGCCAGAUGGUUCGAAUUCCCUCUCUCAACUUUUUUUUUUUUUGUCGACACAGGGGUGUCCGCGUCAAUUCUUACGGGGCCCGACUAAUCCCUGUGAUUUGAGCCCGGCGCUCCAACCCGACCCAAGCAGGUAUUCAGAUUAAUUCUUACGGGAUCUGGACACGAGCCCGACUAAUCCCUCUCUCUACUUCCCUCGCCCAUUAAUUUCUAUUGGAUACCGAUUCAAGACUAUUCUCAUUAGGAAACGGUCACUAUUAGACGUAUGUACUAAAGUUACAACUUAAUGAUAAUCGUUUAUUGACAACAAUUCUUCAAGUCAUAAUGCUUCGAAGAUCAAUGUGAUCGUUCUCAUAAAUCAUAAAUGUACGUCACAUCUCUUCACAUUAUGAAUCCCUCAUAUACUUCACUGAGAAAAGAACAAUUAGGGCUCAUUUGGUUUAUGAAGAUCAUGACACAAAGGGAAAAAAAAGGCAAUUAGGAGCGUGGUUCAAAGUCAUGGUCGCGAUUGCCGUUUGGACAGUUCCACAUCGAUCUUGACAUAUCGAUUACGGUCUCAGUGAGACGCAAAUUUUAAAAUAUUUAAUAUUUUUAAAAUUGUGAAUAAUAUAAAAAAAAUAAUAAACAAAAAUAAAAAAUAACAAAAAUAAUAAAAAUUCGAAUUGACUCAAGCUGACUCGAAACGACUCGACUAUUAUUCGACUGUUUCUAUCCUUCUCGAAGACAUCUCGGUAAUCGAUCAAGUUCUUGGUGAUCUAUUAUCUCAAAAUUAUCUCAUCCCGAAAUUGUGUCAGAGAAUUCCAUUUCGGUGACAUCUCGACUGAGUCUUUGAACCAUCGCGAGAAGAACUCAUCUGACGAGAGUAUUAUUAACCCUCCUCCUUUCCAUGCUCCUUCAUUUUCAGACGUUAAUGAUUCGCCCAAUCAGUGGCAAACCAUGACAACAGGAUGAAAUAAUCUUCUUUAGCGAGAGUUUGGAUAUUUACCUCAAAACAAGUUGAUUAGAUGAUAAUACGACUAGAACUUUGUACACCUUUUUAACCAAUUUUAGUGACUUAGGUUGAGAAGGGUAAUCUCUGUUACAACAAGCUCUAGCAGUCAUAGCCGUGAGCGCGGACGGACAACAUUCUACCAUAGUUCACAAUAAUUCACAAUUGGUAAAUCAUAGAUGGCUUCCCGCGGGAAAUAUAAUACAUGGACAGCUGGUGCUCUGAAGCUAUCUGCACUACCACUCCAGGUCACUCGAGAAAACGGUUCAGAAAGCAUGGAAGAAUACAUACGACUAACAGACAACCAUAGUAACACAAGUAGAAAGAUGGAAUAUGUAUCAUCUGUGACAACACGCAGAUUCCAGGUUUUAUUCGUCAAUAACAGUCAUCCAUAGCAUAGACUCUUAAAGGCUAAACUUUGGUAAAAGCACAUGGUAAAUCCAAGAUCCCAAAAAAUUGUGAAUUUAAUUACUGGCGUCUGUACAUUCUAAAAAGUUGUUUCCCAAACCAGGCACUCUCCUCAACUCAAUCAAAUAAGUCAAAAAUGGAAAAUAAACCUUAUACAUAAAAAAUACAGAAUAGGCCCACCCUGCAAGAGAAUUAUAUCACACAAUUUACAAAAUGAACAACCAAAAUUAAAUUUCCGCACCAACCAAGAGCACGUUGCAGUUAAUCAUGCCCAGCAUCAAUAGGAGCACCUGUCCUGGCUUGUGAUAUUCUGUUUGCAUAGAUAGUUACUAAUCGCAGUUGAGUACUGUUCAGCCCCUCCAAAUGUGGAAGAAACGCUUUCCCCAGCAUGAUAUAGAUGUCAACAAGACAGAACACAACAGUCUGCCACCAAGGAUGAAAUACAAAUGUUAAAAGGAAGCUAUUAGAAAGAAUCUACAUACAUUUUCAACAAAAAGACGGCGUGAACAAGCUUUCUACUCCAGCAACCAAGGCAAAUCGACAAUCUACACAACUACACAAUGAACAGAGACAAUCCGCCACAAACAAAAUAUCCCAGGAGAAAUAAAGCCAACAGUAGAAAUGCCCCCAUAAUGCACAAGAGAGUUUUUGACCUCAGCCAAGAUUCAUUAAGAAUGAGUACUCAUUUUACCCCAAAGUUUUCCAUCUUUUUCAAAAAGUAACACCCAUCAGUCAUCCCACAUGUCGCAUCUUGAAAAGCCAACCAUCUAGCCCUACUUCAAUCAUUACCCAGCAUCAAAGAUCCUAGCUUAGAAAUAAACCAAUAUUCUUCUCUUGUAGGGAUUUUCAGAUUAAAGGGUUGGUUAAUGAUGAAUGAUGCCUGAAUUAAGUUUCCUUACUUGCAAAACUACUUGCUAGAUCAGCUGACGGAAAAUACUCACUAGCUCAGCUGACGGAGUUCAAAGGUCGCUAGACGAUAUUUCCAAAUCCAAAAAUGAAAAGCUUGCUAAACAGAACACUAGUUACCUUACGAACAUCAGCGCUCUGGUUGCCAAAAGCAUCAAAAAGUGCAGGCAGAAAUGAAGAUAACUGUCUCAUCAAAUCUUCUUGUGACAGCCUCCCGACAAGCUGCAAAAAGACGAGCCAGAUCAAAUAAACCACACAAGCAAACAAUUUCAACUUUUCUCUCAUUAAGACAUUUUGUAUUUGAUAUAGCCAUUUCUGCAAGCAUGUUAUCAUUAAGAAGCAGCUGUCUCUUGUAUAGAUUGUGUAUUAAUCUACUAUAACAACAUUUAUUCAACAUUUCUUCUGAUACAAGGACAAAUUUGACUGGAUUCAAAGGAAGGCUUCCUAGAUAUAGAACACCAAGUUGAGAACUAUGACUAAAUUUCAAAUGCCAUUGGUGUACAUCCAACUAAACUGAUUAACAAAGACACAGCAAAUGAGUCUCGACUUCCAAAACAAACUUUGCUGAUAACCACCAAGAAUAUGAACACUGCAGCUAUCUUACAGGAUCAGCCAUGCCAGAACAAACACAAAUUUCCUCCAUUUGUGACACAGACUCUCCAAGUAACUCCUAGGUUUCAACUCCCUAAAAGCCACCCCAUAAAGGCCAAAACUUAGGUAGACCCAGUCUUCAAGGACCCAAUAGCUCAGAUUGUGCCACACCACUUCACCAAGUGGUGUGGCACAAUCCGGGUCAUUGGGUCUUCGAAGACCACCAAGUGGUGUGGCACAAUCUGGGUCAUUGGGUAUUUGAAGACCAAGUCUACCCAAGUGUGAGCUCCCUAUAAAACUAUCCUGAACAUGUACCGACACAAGUUUUGGUAGUUCACAAUUCACAUGACAGAAGCCAGCUUGUUGAACAUAUUUUGCAACAAAAUGUCAGUGGUUAAGCUUAUUGAAGGAUACUUGUAUGUCCGUGGAAAUUGAAACCGCACAGUUCACACACAUUUAGGCAACGAAAGAUGGGAAGAGAUCCAAAAGAAGAUGAUAAACCAUAAAUAAAAUUAAUACCUUCGUCAAACAGUUUAUGCAAGUGACGAGAGUUUUUUCAUCUUCAGUAACCAGCAAAGGGACAAUAACCUGCAAAAGAAAAGGUAAACCAUGGAGCAAGCUCAAAGAACUAAACCAACCAGUACAACCUGGAGGUGUUAAAAGCAAAGAACAAUGUUAUGACUUACGCUUAAACAUCUAAAUGGAUCAUACUGUGACAAGACUAAUAGUUAAACAAUGCUCUGCUUCAUUUGAAACCUGAAGCAAGAAGUUGCUAUAAGACAUGAACUAUAGGUUACACAGAAAGAAAUUGGCCAGAAAACACAUUACUUUUGGAACAAUAUCUUUUGUAACGUGAAGCAGCUUUUCAAUCACAAUCUCAAUGGAAUCCUCCAUGGCAUGUUUCUAGAAACAACAAAGAAGUGUUAAGAAAUGCAAAUAUAAGAAUUCCAUACUGAAAAUGAACUUAAGCAAGGGAAACUUAUGGUUUAAAAAAAAAAAAGCUUAGACAUGUCCACAAAGAACCUCAGGAAGGAUUGGAAUUGAACCUGAUUCUUUAGCAUUUCAACUACAAGGGAAAGAGCAAGUUCCCGGAUUAACGAAUCAGAAUCGUCCAACACUUCCAAUACAACUGUCAGAAUCUGAUUGAAAUACUGCAGCAUAACAAAGAUCAAUAAAUAGUCAACAAGAAGAUAUCCCCCAGAAGAAAGAAAGCGCUCAAAGCAACAGGCUACCAUCCAUAAAUCACAUCCCUAGUGACAACCCAUCCCCCCAAAGAAAAGAAAUAUUCUAUCCUUAGUCUUUGACCCCGUUUUAACUGGUUUGACUUUUGCAGCAAAUUGAGGUAGAGCAAAACAAAAUGAUGUAGAUAACGCAAAAGAGAAAAGGUUGGUUUUCCUCGUGCAUUUGGUUAAGUAGAAAAUGUUUUGAGUGAGAAUGCAAAUUAAUGCAUGAUGUCAAACAUUCUAGCAACUAAAGUUCACCUAAUCAAACAUUCUAGCAACUAAAGUUCACCUACACAUUCUGCAGAAAGAUUAGAUUGUUUCCACCAACUUCCCGAUAAACCAAACAAAGAAACUUACUACUUAAAGUUUCUUUUCCUUCUCCAUUCAUUCAACCGGCACCUUCAGGUAGCAUAAAGCUAAAUCACAUCAACGCCAACAUCCUGGUCUAAAACAAGCAUUCCAUAUUUACUACAUAUAGAUCUACAUAUAGAUUCUCCACACCAAUGUUUUAACUUCAAUUACAUUAUCCAAUAAGCCCAAAAACCAUCACAAUUUCUCAUUACUCUACAUUCAUGUUAAAUUUAGUCACACUCUUCCUAUAUUUACUGCUCUGCAUCAAAUAUCCUUCUCUUCAUGCACUUGAACCAUCAUCGCUCACAUUAUCUUCCUUACCAGCAACUACAAUUUCAGUGGAAUUUGUGCAAGGCAUUUCACACUAAUUGUUUCUAUUGAAACUUAAAUCCAUCUUGCCUAAAUGCAAAUGAUAAUCUACUGUCAAGAAAAACAAGGAACUACGACAUGUAAACUUGUGAGGGAAUCAUUUACCUUGCUCCAAAUAGAUUCAUCAUUCGCUACAGAAACUUCAACUAACUGCUGAAGGCAUCACGCUUGUUUUUUGUAGGACUUCCAUCAUUCCCAUUGCAAAUCUACAGAAAAACAGAUAACAUGUAAAGAUGCAACAUAUGAGUUGAACUUCCAGUUUCAAUCUCCACAGAGAAAUAAAAAUGCUCAAAGACUAAUUAGUACAGCUGCAAAAGUUCUUAUAGUCCAAAAUAAACUUACAAGAUGAAGAAUUUGAGGAAUGCUUGGCCCUGUUUCUAAAGCAGAGUUUGGUUUUAAAGCUGCAACUCUUGGAGAAUCAUGUACCACUUGAAGUGAUGUUUCAAUAUCAGCUGCCAAUGCCACAUUCACCCUUUGAUGGUUUGAUCCAAUUAACCCAUUCAGGUCCGCACGUGGCGUUGAAGUAGCCUCUACAUUAGCAGUGCUGUCAGCACGUCCAAUCUGAUCCCUACUAGUCCAUGAUCCAAUACUCUCACUGGUGGCAUUGGCUAUGUAUUUCACAUCCUUGGAAUUAGAGGCCAUGACAUCAUUGUUGGAACCAGUCUCUAGACCAUUAUACAAAUAUCCCUGAAUUUCAUCAGAUGCUUGACUCACAGAGCCUGUGAUAUGAGCUAACUCUUUAGCAGAGCUCCACUUUCUACCCCCAUCACUGUCGAUUGAGCCUGAAGAAUAUCUUCCCAACAAAGGAUUCUUCUUUGAGGCUCCAACAUAUCCCUCUUCAGAAGAAGUUCCAAUGACAUCAGAAGGAUCAUAUAAAGACUUUGAGCGUUCUUGUUCUGCAAAAAAUUCAUCAAGUCUACUUCUAUACGUGGGGUGUACUGUUUAAGGGCUCUCCUCAAGGAAUUUUGCUCUUCAACUGAUAAGCUGAGAAUAAAAUUUAAAACUGCUACUGAAUCAAAGUGGGUGUACACUGAUAUGAUACAUGUAAUUGCUGCUUCCUUUAGUUUUGUAUUUUUAUCAUGCACCAAUGGCGUCAAUUUUGCAAGCCAUAGUUUUAGGAUUCCACUAUUACCAGAACCUUCAGUGUUAGAUGCAUGCUUGUUGAAUGAACCAAUUGCAAAUUCAAUAACAGCCAGUUUAGCUUUUGGAGAACGCUGUUCAUCCAAUGAUCGAAGCAAUGCUGGUAAAAGAGAAUCUAUACCAUAUGUCUUGCCAACGGUUUCCAAUGUACUUGAGCAAGGUUGUCUUACUAAUUCUUUUGGAUCAAUCAACCUAGAAAAAACAUGGGGUAGUAUUCUCUCAACAUAACUCUCAAAGGGCUUUCUACAAGCUGGGAUCAGAUCUGCAAGCGUUGAGAGAGCAGCCUGUGCCACUUUAUGAUGAGGAUCAUCCAAAUGCUGGAAAAACAAUUUCAUCACUUUCUCAAAACUCUGCACAAUUUCUUGAAUUCCACGUGGACCUUGCUGCAAGAGAGACCUCAGAUAAUUAAACGCAGCAACUCUUGCACUCCAAUCAGAACUGGAACUGAGCCCCUCACUCAGUGCGUCAUGGAGUGAUGUAGGACCCUCAACAAAGUUAGACAUGUCACCAGUGAAAGCUGGCUGUCAUCAAAGCUCCUUCUCCUGCCUGCUGACAUUCGUCCAGCUGCAUUCUUCCUCAAAAGCGGCUUUUGGAAAUUGGGAACAUAACUAUUAUGGGACUCCCUCAAAUUGCCAUCUCUAUAUGGUGUAUCUGCAUAAUGUCUUUCAACAUGAGAGUUCAUAGUUCGCCUGGCUUCUCUAAAAUCAAAAUUCUCUUCCAGUAAACCUGUUUCAUGCAGUUUUUCAACUUUCUUGGCUGAAUACGAUGAAAUUGCUGACAAUGACUCACUUCCUGCACCACCUCGGUAUGAUAGUCUACCUGAAUCUCUGGAAGCCUGAAUCUGAGAGAUUAUAUCAGACAUAACCAGGCCCCCAUUGUGACUAUUACUUUUUGACAUUCCAGAUGUUGUGUCCACUGCCAAAGCAUUUGCGAGACUAUUUGAAGCUGGCACAGCAAGAGGAAAUGGCGGAUCACGAGACGAUGGUGGGUCAACUCCUGCACUAGGGGCAAUAAGAGGCCAACCAGAAAAUGUUAAACAGUAACUAGGGCCAAGCUUCAAAUAGAAGAUUCUUCAGAAACUAAAAUGAUGAUUCAAUCACAGCACAAAGAACUUUUUACACUAAAAGCAACAAAAUCUGUCACAACAAGAGAAGGAACAGAGAAUUAAGUACCUAGAUCCAAACUGGAUGAUCGGCUUUUUUCCGAUAAAUUUAGACCCUGAGCAUGCUUUCGAUAGCAGUAACUUUCUCUUUGCUUGCAUUUAGCACACUUUCAAGGCUACGUUCUGUGCUUUUAGACGAAGACUUAGACUGUGAUAGAAAAAGUGCAGACGAGAUAGAUGUCCCCGAGGAUAAGCUCGUGCUUCUAUCCAUCGCAACUAUGGCAGAAGUUCCAUAACCAGGUAGGUUGGAAGCAGAUGAAUGAGAGGUAAAGGACAUAUGCAAACUCCUUUCGCGAACAGAAGGAGAAGCAUGACGCCUGUGGAUGCCACCAUCCUCAUCGUUUAUAAUCUGUAUGACAGCAAAGCUUCAGUAAAAAAUCUUCAAAAGAAAAAUUAUAGUUUGGCAUGCUCCAAAGUUACAUACAUACAUAGAUACACACACACACAUAUAUAUUAUGGUUUUAAGAAAAAUGACAGUCUAGGAAAUAGAAACACAUACCCUUUGUAUAGCAGGAUCAAAGGACAUGAACAAGCGACGGGAACGCUCUGGCCAAGUUUUUGCAAACAUUCUAAAACAUGUUCUUGCAGUUGAUCUUACCUGUCAACUUACAGUAUGUCAAUACAUGAUAAUGCUGCUAAACUUAAAAGAAAACAAAAGCUGAGCCACAAGCAACACUUUGCUGGUUCUAUUAUACGCCGAUGACAAACAAAUAACGAUGGAAAAAAAUUCAAGAACAAGGCCGGUUGUAGGAAGAAUACAUAAAGAAUAAGCUGGACAAAGAUCAAUACCUCACUCAUUGCAUCUGCAACACAACAUUUAAUAAGCUCCUCAUACACUUCAGCUGAGCGUUGUAUUUCAGGGGCAUCAGCCCAGUAUUCCAAUAUCAAAAGUGCAUAUUCACAACACCUGACAUUGUGAGAAAAGGUCCUAUAAGCUCAAACAAGAACCCACAAAUUCAACCCCUACCUUGGAGGAAAAACAGAAUCUCACCUUGCACGAAGAACAGCACUGCGGUCAUUUUUGGCAGAAUCAGCUAUUCGAAGAAGUGAACGAGAAACUUUGCAAUUUCGCAACAUCUAAAUUUUGAGAAAAGAAGGAUAUGAAUUAAAGAAAUAAAUUCAAGUACAUGAGAAAAAGGACUAGCUUAAAGACUAGCAUAUAGAACAUUACCGUUUUUAUGCAGUUAUCUGCAGAUUCUGCAAUGACUAGUACAGUUAUUACAACAAGCUUGAAAAGCAUCUGAAGUCAAAAGGCAAUGACCAACGAAUUAGAUAGUGAAAAAACAACAAUGAUCAACAGCAUAGAACUGUACUUACUGGAAUGAACAUCUCAGCACAAGCCUCAAAAUCUCCCAAAAGCUCUUUCGAUAAGAAAAUUAAUAGAUGGCAUGCCUAAAAAAGUGAGGAAAAAAAAUAUGAUAUAAGCUACAGCUCAUCAAUUAGACAUAUUAGGAAAAUAAGUUGAAGGUAAUACAUACAAAAUUACUGUGACAAUCAUUUUCCAAAGGAAAAUCAUCCCAAUUCUCAACCCAUGGACUGUAUGAAAGAAAUGCAGACCAUGGAAAAUAAUUUAUGAUCCAUUUACACAAUUUAAAGAGAAACGCCCGAUUAUCAAGCAGUUUCCACAAUCCAAAAGUAAAGCCCUAACAGUUUUAUGACAUUGCCAGAAAAGAUACAUACAACUAUAUACCUGGUAUAAAAUUUAAGUAGGUGAUCCUCUUCAAGAUUUUAAAUAUUUCUCUAUCUUUCUUAACCAUUAAACUAUGAUGACCCAUAAACAUGACAUUAUUGGACAAAUUUCUGGACAAUUUUGUCUCAAUAAGUGAUUCAUCUUCCAUAUCAGAAGAUAGAAAAGGGUUAUGUGACUAGACUAUCAACUGGAAAGACAUCUCCUAAAACAUAGAAACUACAGAUUGUCAGCUCCUUCCAGGUAAACAAUGCUACAAACUUCCUUUUGGCCGUAAAGUAUAUCAGGAAAUAAUGCAAAAAGAAAUCAUGGAUGGAACAACUAAUAAUUUUUACGAUACCUGCUUCACUAUGCUAGAUCUCCGAUCAGAUAAUUGUGUGCUAAGAGGCCCAACAAGUUGCUUUAGAAGCACUCGAAAGCAUGGAUAAUCAAUUGCACCUGAUAGAACUCAAAUGAGAUUGUAAUACAAAGUCCUAAUCCUCCCAAUGAAAAUUACAUCAGAUCAAUGCUAAAUUUUCACAAGAAUAUACAGUUUGGGAUAUGCUAACUUUUAAAAACACUACAUGUCAUGCAAUGCUUUGGAAGAAAAAAUAGAUUUGUGCCAGCUUAUAGAAAUACCAUCAAAGGAGUAACUCCCACAAAAGUCAUUAUCUUAAAGAUGGAAUAAAGAAUACCCCAAAAAAAAAGAAGCCUGUAACUACAUGAUUGUCAAACUUAAGCAACAAGCCCAUCAAACUGUUCUUCGAGAAAAUCUAAAGCCAACUAUUAAGGGUUCAACAGAAGAUCAAUACAACACUACCUCUUGACCUAAGUAUAAGAUAGCCACAACUUGCAAAGAAAAUUUGUCUGUAAUAACAUUCUCACUGAAAGCCUAAUAGCAAUAUAUUAUCAGUACGUAAAUGUUAAGCAACAUUUGUUCCUCAGCUCCAAAUGCAAGACCCAAGUCAGAAACUUCUUAGUAACCCACUUUCAUUGAAAUACCAACACUAGCUAUGUAAACCAGCAACCGAAAAGGAAGGAGAGAGAGAGAGAGGUCAGAGUGUAGCCAGUUCUCUUUUAAAAAACUACAACAAACAUAUCGAGACUUCUGGUCCAAGACAGGUGCCUCUCAUACAUUAAUAAAUAGAAUGCACCAGCUUCUUUGGAGUGGUGAAAUCCUUUUCCAUUGCGAAUACACAGAUACACAGAGCAAGAUAUAAGAACAAAUUUCUCAACCAAAAUUCAAAAUUCACAAGGGUUUACUUUUCAUAUUAGUUUUGCUGCUUUCCUAUUAAAGAGUUGCAGAGAAAGGAGUAAAGGAUGUCUUGUUCAGCAAACAAACCUCCAAUUACAAGACCUUCGACUCUUUGCAUGGCUGCAAUUCGGAUAGACCAAUCUUUAUCUGGUAUAAGGGUAGAAGCAAUCUUCUCAAAUUCCCGAACCAACUCCUUCUCUGAGUAAACUUUGAUGGGCUCUACAGGUUUUUCUGUGACAUCACCAUCACCUGCAUAAGCAAAGGGCAAAGAAACAGAUAAUAUGACAUUCUACAAGGAAUAAGGCGAACAAUAAAAAUGAAACAAUUUGACACCACGCAACUCAAUAUAUGUCAUCCAAUAAAAGUAAGCCUUUCAUUAACAUCAUUAUGCACUAACCUCCAAAGAGAGAUACCUCACGUGUAGAACUCUUGGCCUUAGGACUGCUCUUUUUAGUACUAAGGUUGGCAGACUUGAUCUCGCUAGCAGCAUAAUUACUCACAAGUCCAUCAGCUGACCUUACUUUUGGCUCAAUUCUCUCUAAUCUGGCAUUGAUAUCUUUUACCUACAGUCAGUUGUAAUUAAAGAAGAGUCACUUAGAAAACAAAAACAAGGACAACGUAUUUAAGUCCUUCCAUGUCAUAAUAGAAAAUCCAAACCCACAAGGCAAAAACUGAUGACAAACCACUAAAGCUCCUAUUUGAAAUACUAACAAGAUACAGAUCGAGCUACAUAAUACCAUUGUUGCAGGAAGAUUUUGACGCUGAAGCUCAUCACGAAAUUGAGGACCAAUCUGAUUAUACAUCUCCUGAAGAAGGAAAUGAAGUGAAAUUAAUGCAUCAUGAUCAGUCUAUUGCUUGUUAAGACAUGAGCAAAUGGUGCCUUCUUCAGCACCAAGAGACAGGAGUACUACCUCAGCAAGCUCAAAUAAUGGGGGUUUAAAAUCACUCCAAGAUGUUAAAAAAGAUUUUAAACAUGCAAUUCAGCUACCUCAAUACAUGAUAUAGCCGCUUCACGCACAGCAGGAUUUGGGUCAUUCAGCAUGUACAAAAUCUGAACAAACAUAGCAGAAACUUUAUUUUAAUUUUCUGUACUUGAAAAACUUCACCGCAUAUAUUAGUUCUAAAAUAUACAACAAAUAACACGUUGUAGUAAAGGUUAUCAAGAAUAAUAAUUCCAUACAGGAGGAAGAAUAGCACGUUGAAGCGGAAGCUCAGUGGAUGCGAAAAGACCAAUUGCUGAGGUGACUGUACGUGCAAAUUCUUCUCGUACUCUCCAGCUCUUAUGUGUCCAAGCAUAAGACCCCGCUCUUUCAACAAUAAUUGUUGGUGAAGAAACCUAUUACAGGAUAGCAAUUAUUCUUCAAAAGAAUUUAAAUCAUAACAGGAAUCUCCAGCAUCUGAAGAAUGGUUCAAAGAACUGUAAACCAAAAGGGACUAUUAUCUAAGUAAACACAACAAUAAACACUUGAUAUAGCAACAGCAUCUGAUGAUAGACAGUAUUGCAGUCUAAGUCAUAUUUUACAGGAAUCUCCAGCAGUCCAUAGCCUCACCAUUCAUCCUAACAUUCGAUCUUUUCAUAUUAAUGCACAUCAAAACUGUCAUUUCCUCAGUUAAUGAAGCAAAGACAAUAGGGAAGUCGACAAGCAUCCUUCAGUCCUGUAAAGUUCUCCCGAAAAUUUAAAAGUAGCAACAUGUAUAUUCUAACUGAAGCCAUUAUAAAUGUACUUUUAAAUAUCAGUAUCCAAAUCUUUUAUGGUCAUAAAGAUUCCAUAGCAAACAAAUUCAACUAAAAUGCUAAUUAAAUAAAACAUUAGUUUAAUUCACAAAAACUAUAGUAAAUUCAACAGUUAUUAAGAAAAACACUAGUUCACAUUUUGGUUCAAAUAAACCCAAUAUAGAGAACACAAGUUACUCUAUUUCCAAUUCCUAGUACCUAAUCCAGUACCCAUUCUAAAACACCAUAAACUAAUUCGGUGAGGUUGAAGUAGAUUUCGCCAUCAGAACCAGAUCAAAAAUACCAGGAUUACCAACAGCUCCCCGCCUUCCGGAGCAAAAGAAAACAACCAAAGGAAAAAAAAAAGGUUCUCUUUCCACAACACGCAUCAUCAACUUAGUUAGACAAGAUUUAAGAAUAGAGCUAUCCGCAUUGUCAAUUUACUCAACUUUUUAAUUAAAUUAUUCAAUAUAUUCAGAUACAUCAGCCAACCACCAAUUCCAACUAAGCUAAUCCAGCAAAGCAAAUACCCGCAAAUUCACCAGCAUCCAAUGCUGAAUUCAACGCCAAGCAAAUUGCACGAAAACUCAUUGAAUUGAUAAAAUAGUAAAUGAAUUUAAACACCAAUACCUCCAUUAGAGUAAGUAAAAGCCGGCGAGCGGCGUCCCUAACCGGCUGUUUCGCAUCUCCGAGUCUCUCAACAGCGGCAGGAACUAAGGCAUUGAAAUGAAGCUUCAAAUGCUCACCGGAAAGUACCGCCGCAGAGGCGAGGGCUUGAAGAGCGCCCUGCGAAACCCUAAAAUUAUUAUCUUUCAAGAGAUCUAAGCAGGUAUCAACAAGCGACGUAACUUCCGAGGAGGAUAAGCUCUUCCUGGAAGCUUCUAAAAGUUGGUGAAGCCUCUCCACAGCCGCCAUUCUCUCCUUGGUGUCCUUGGCACGCGCCAAUUCCAAUGCCUCCUCCAUCUUUUUGGAAUUAAACUAGGAGUUAUAAGUUAGGGCUCCGAUCUGGUGCGACGAAUAUCAGAUCUGAGUGGGAAUGGGGACUAUGGGGAAAGAGGGAACUCGGCGGAGCAGUGAUACAAUGGAGAAGGAAAGUGAAGAAGACAGUGUGAGUGAGUGAGUGAGUGCGUGUGUGUGUGAGAGAGAGAGCAGCAGUAUGUGCUGUGUGUGUAAGAAUUUGGGUGAGGAAAGGGAUGUGCUAGAUUGACGGAGGAGCGGAUGCAGGAUUAGAGUGGGAGGCUGAUCUGUCAAUGUUGUUGGAGCAGUUGGGAAAAUCUUUUACUCUCUAACCACGGACCCUGGGGGGAUAACUCAGGAAAACACCUAACGUUUUUUAGGAAGUUCAGUGACAGUAGCAGUUCUAUUUUACUGGUACGCUAUCUCAAAGCGGAAUUUGUUAGAGUAACAUGUGGGUUAUGUCGAUGGGGUUCUGUUUGAGGCCUUCUGCAGUUCAGAAACGACUACGUAAAUUUGUUUUUGUUUCACAAGAAACAAAAAAUUCCUCGUGGGAGCCGUAUUUGUUUGCUUUCAUUUCUCUGGUUUCCUGAAGCGAAUGUUUUGGAGCAAAAGUUGCAUGCUUGUCGGAUUUCAUUUAUUCAUUUGUUAUUGGAUGUUAUGUUUACAAAGAUUUCAUUUCACUCGUGAGUGAAGGUAAUAUAUAAUUCAAAUAUAUUAAAUUUAAUAUUUAACAAUUCAAUAAUUUAAUAGAUUCAUAUUUCAGUUUUCAAAUUUCAAUUUUAUCAAACGAACCCUAAGUGAGAGGAUUCAUACUAAUACAUUUUCAAAAUGAAGACAUACCGCUUUUUCUCUGUUUUAUAGCACCUCAUUAGAGCUGAUAACCAAUUCCAAGUCCUAAUGAGUUAUACAUGGCCUUAUUAAUUUACUUGCUCGUAUCAUAAACAUAUAUAUAUAUAUAUAUUUUAUUUAUAUAUAUUAUAUUCAAAAAAUGUUACAGUAUUUUUAAAAAAAAUUAUCUCAAAUAAUUGCCUAUCAAAACAUUGCUUGUCACAAUCAAAAGACGCAUCUAAAUAGAGGUAUUUAUAAAUAAAAAAAAACUGCAAAAUCAAUCGAUCUAAUUUAGAUCGGAUUUCAAAUUUCACUGCAAUGGAAUUCGAAAAAAAAAUCAAAAUAUGAUAUUCUGUGAAAUAAUUUGGCAAUGGAUAUUAAAAGUAUAUAACUGAAUUACUGAUUAUCAUCGGACGAAUUACCGAAAUUUUUAUAAUAUAAUGUUAUAUAUGUGCGUCCGUGUACGUAUGUAUAUUAGUUAUAUAUAUUACUAAAUAUAAGAGUAAAUCUUAAUCCUAUUACUAGAUACUAAUUAGCUCAUUUAAAUAUAACUAUACCUGGAAGUCAAAUUUUGAUGGAAGUUGACACAUAGAAAUUUAGCUUGACAAUUAGAUUUUGAAUAAAUGUUUAUUUCAAUGUUGUUUAAGAAUUUAGAUUAUGAGUCAGGACUUCGGAUUAUAAACCUUAUUAUUAUUGCAUAUCAUGUUUGUUUGAGCUAAGUUGAUUCAUUUCACUCGUAAGCUCCUUGUCUUCAGAUUAUGGAAUCAUGUACCGUUUCGGUUGGGCUCACCAGACCAAAAUGAUGGACGCAACGUUUUUCCACGACAACAAGUUCUACCUAAUUAGGAAUCAAAAUUAUCAGUUGUUCUCCUGUCUUUCUGCUGAGCGCCAUCAUAUUUUGUUUGUUAAAUCAAAGUUCCAUUUCCACCGGUGCCUUGAGUUUCUGAAGACGUAACGAGGUAUGAUUACAUUAUAGUUAUUAUGAUUGACGUUUGAUAAAAACCCAUUAAGAAGAAGAAGACUAAUCCCAGUUGGCGACGAAGCCACGCCACCAAACCCCAGUUGGACGAAUCCUUAGAAUCACUACAAAAUAAUAAAGUAAUCAGCUUUAGCUUCAGCUGAUCCAGUUGGGUCCCAGAGGGGACCAAAAUAAUAAUAAUAAUAAACCAAGAAGUGAUUGAGCUUUACAGGUUGGCAAUUAAGUCGGUGAGCAAAUGAAAGGUUAAACUGGAGCAUCACAGGUUGUUAAUUACUACUACUUAAUGAUGUUUUCUGGGAUUCACGAGGCAGAAGCCCUUUCUCAAGUCCUACUACCCAUUGCCCACUGCCACAUGGACCAGAGAAGCGUCAACACAUUGGGCCUCCGACGUUCUACUUGGGCCUCUUAUUAUGGACUGGUCUUUUUGAUUCAAUGAUGUGAGAACCAUCCAGCGUGUUGUGGACAUGGAUUGACCCUCAAAGAGACAUGACGGAUUAGUUUUAUUCUCUAGCAAAAUUAAGGAUCAACCUUUCUUUUUUCUACCUGGAAAAUUUUUAUUGCCAAGUCGUGGGGCUUGGCCGUCGGGAUGGUCAAGUAUUAAAGACCAAAAAAACAGGAAGGGAUUUGCGGCAUUGAAACUUGAUGUAGAAUGAAGCGGUUCAAAUCUUUGUGAUGCAAUCAUAGAAUGAGAAAGGAAAUGCAAUAAAUUAUGGUAACGCAAAAGCAAGCAGCAGACGAGCACUUAAAAAAAAAAAAAAAGAAAGUAGUAGAAGUAAUUAGUACAUCUGGGACUAGUACAACACGCGACUCGAUCAAAGAUUGUAGAAUCACUAAAUCUUUGAAUCCAGGCCAUGAUAGUGCUGAGGUUCAUGGGAGUCAUGUAUUUGUCGGAUCCGGUGAGGAUGGUUUGGACAAUAAUCUUAUUUGCCCGCUCCGAUGGGUGAAAAGGAUCCCAAAACGCAUACACAUUUCUGUCCGGGCAUAGAUUUGAUGCGGCAGUGCAGAGUCCAACUCCAUUGAAUGCUCCUUGUCCACAACAUGCUACCUUAGACGUGACAAAACCUGUUACAGUUUUCCAACCAGAAAAUGUUAUUGUCAGCAUGCAGUAUUAGAAAAUUAUAUAUAUAUUGUAAAGACCCUUUUGAUCGCUGCCCUGACUUCAUUCAAGGCUUCUUGCAAGAGGCAGGAGGCAUGCAAAGAAUUGGUUUAUCAUAUUAGUGCUAGUUUAGAACAAACCAAAAGCCCGGGAUUGGUGAUGAAGUCAUUCUGCAUUUGCAUUGCAUUGACGGCGACAAACACGUUUGAUCCCAGAUCUUGGUUGAGACCUUGAAUCAUUUGAAUGAGGAGCGGGUUGAAGGUGGCAGCUGCUUGUUGAGGCUCCUCUGCACAUUCCCCAUUUCUACUCCUUGUAGCCAGUUCCCCUGGAACGCAACCUAUGGGCCCAGUUCCUGUCACCAGCACCCUUCUUGCUCCUAAUUCGUACAGUCUCUGCACAAAUUAUUAUUUUUUUUUCGAGGGAGCAAUGAACAAGCCAAGUAAUUAAUUUGAUGAUGACCAAAUAUUAACUAGAAUUAUAUACUGUUAUGAGUUACACAGGUUGACACGUAAUACCAAAUGCACCAGAAGUCAGCGCGCGAUGCAUUAUCCAUUUACCAUUUUGUCAUGUCCGAUUAUUGAAAACAAGCCUUGGCUAAAAAUCUGUGUUGUCUGAUUAGUUUUGCUAAGUUCCUUCUGGCGGUGGAAGAAUGCAGACAGCGCCAGGAAAAAAAAAAAGGAUAAAUUACCAGUAGAAUUUUGCGGUAUUCGGAGAUGAGGAAAACGGAAUAAUCUUGGAUGUUGUAUUGAAGUCUUCUGGCAGACAAUGGCGUCAGAAAAUAGUUAUUAACGUAGUCAUUCCCACCAAGUGUGAUGAGAACCAGCGCUUGGUUCACCCGCUGCUCUGCCUGGUCCGCCCAAUUAGUGCACCAAGUCGCUGCUGGUACCGAGCGAACAGCUCCAAUUGUUGGGCAAUUCUUAUUAUGUUUGCCUAAUGCCCAAAUCCACAAAAACCAAUUAAACCCCAAAAAUUACAUAUGGCUGUGGAAGAACAGCCCCGGAUCCAGUUGUUGUGUCUUUCACGAGAGCAAAUAAAUAUGGGGCUGUGUGUAUACGCUACUAACUGGACACGUAAAGCAAGAAGGAUUAUGACUUCAGUGGUACUGGUACGUAAUUGCAUUAAAAAUCCAACCAACUCAGAUAUCCCAAAGGUGAAAAGUACACAACCAAAGCUACCUGGGAAAGUGGGGAGCAAAACAAAGGAUAUCGUAUACUAGUACAGUUGAACUUGGUUGUUUUUUUUUUUUUUUUCCUUUCCCCCAUUUUUACAGCUGAUCAACAGCUCAGGAAAUGGCAGUGCAAUGAUCGAAGAUCAGAACUUACAAAUUGAAUCCCUGUAUCGUUAAGGAUUCCGAUUCCAGCAGAAGCGAAAUUUGCACCUACUAAACAGCUUCUCUCCGUUGAGCUCAGGACUUAAGUACGGCAAGGUUGACUCAGCCCCAAGGCGCUUGGCCUAUGUUCAUGAAUUGAUGCAAAAUAUCAUCGGGUCCAGCAAACGAACAGUCACGGAAAAAUGAAAAUAAAAUGAGGAAUAUUGAUUGCAUGGUAUAUAAACGAACUUACUAAUAAGAUUCCCUCUCUCUACUUCCCUCGCCCAUUAAUUUCUAUUGGAUACCGAUUCAAAACUAUUCUCAUUAGGAAACGGUCACUAUUAGACGUAUGCACUGAAGUUACAACUUAAUGGUAAUCGUUUAUUUGACAACAAUUCUUCAAGUCAUAAUGCUUCGAAGAUCAAUGUGAUCGUUCUCAUAAAUGUACGUCACAUCUCUUCACAUUAUGAAUCCCUCGUAUACUUCACUGAGAAAAGAACAAUUAGGGCUCAUUUGGUUUAUGAAGAUCAUGAAUACAAAGGGAAAAAAAAAGGCAGUUAGGAGCAUGGUUCAAAGUCAUGGUCGCGAUUGCCGUUUGGACAGUUCCACAUCGAUCUUGACAUAUCGGUUACGGUCUCAAUGAGACAUAAAUUUUAAAAUAUUUAAUAUUCUAAAAAUUGUGAAUAAUAUAAAAAAAUAUAAUAAACAAAAAUAAUAAAAAAAUAGCAAAAAUAAUAAAAAUUCGAGUUGACUUGAGCUGAUUCGAAACGACUCGACUAUUACUCGACUGUUUCUAUCCUUCUCGAAGACAUCUCGGUGACUCGAUCAAGUUUUUGGCGAUCCAUUAUCUCAAAAUUAUCUCAUCCCGAAAUCGUAUCAGAGAAUUCCAUUUCGGUGACGACUCGAUUGAGUCUUUGAACCAUCGUGAGAAGAACUCAUCUGACAAGAGUGUAUUAUUAACCCUCCUCCUUUCCAUACUCCUUCAUUUUCAGACGUUAAUGAUUCGCCCAAUCAGUGGCAAACCAUGACAACAGGAUGAAAUAAUCUUCUUUAGCGAGAGUUAGGAUAUUUACCUCAAAACAAGUUGAUUAGAUGAUAAUACGACUAGAACUUUGUACACCUUUUUAACCAAUUUUAGUCACUUAGGUUGAGAAGGGUAAUCUCUGUUACAACAAGCUCUAGCAGUCAUAGCCGUGAGCAAGACGGACAACAUUCUACCAUGGUUCACAAUAAUUCACAAUUGGUAAAUCAUAAAUGGCUUCCCGCGGGAAAUAUAAUACAUGGACAGCUGAUGCUCUGAAGCUAUCUGCACUGCCACUCCAGGUCAUUCGAGAAAACGGUUCAGAAAGUAUGGAAGAAUACAUACUACUAACAGACAACCAUAGUAACACAAGUAGAAAGAUGGAAUAUGUAUCAUCUGCUGACAACACGCAGAUUCCAGGUUUUAUUCGUCAAUAACAGUCAUCCAUAGCAUAGACUCUUAAAGGCUAAACUUUGGUAAAAGCACAUGGUAAAUCCAAGAUCCCAAAAAAUUGUGAAUUUCAUUACUGGCGUCUGUACAUUCUAAAAAGGUUGUUUCCCAAACCAGGCACUCUCCUCAACUCAAUCAAAUAAGUCAAAAAUGGAAAAUAAACCUUAUACAUAAAAAAUACAGAAUAGGCCCACCCUGCAAGAGAAUUAUAUCACACAAUUUACAAAAUGAACAACCAAAAUUAAAUUUCCGCAC